Malus domestica (apple) is the source of this 2117-nucleotide non-coding RNA. Lineage: Eukaryota; Viridiplantae; Streptophyta; Magnoliopsida; Rosales; Rosaceae. The record is from RefSeq and is a predicted model, not a curated record.
GUGUUUGAAAUAUUUGUUAGUUUUUGAGUUGAAUGGAAAUGGCAGGGAGGGAAGGUAAGCGCGCUUUUAUUUGUAUCUCUUCGUCUUCCGAAGAAGAAGACGACGACGGAAAGGAAGACGGCGACUUUGGAGAAGAAGAAGAUGACGACGAUGAAGGCGGUGACGGUGACGACGGCGAUUAUGAUGAUGAGGACGACGAUGAAGACGGUGACGGUGAUGACGGCGAUUAUGAUGAUGAGGACGACGACGACGACGACGACGACGGCGAUGAGAAAAUUGAGGAGGGCGAUGACGAGGCUCUCUGCAACAGCGUAAUCCGCUCUCUCCAAGAAGGGAUUGAUUUGGUUUCUUUAAAUCUCAAAGAGUGCAAGGCGUAUUUGCGGAGGCACGGCCUCAGAAUCUCCGGAACCAAAGCGGUUUGUAUUCAGAGAAUUGAAGAGCAUUGGAGGUUGAAGGAUGGAAAUGGGGAAGCACUGUAUCCGAGAUCAUCCUUCGUAAUUAAUUGUACAGGUGAUGUCUGUAAGGGAGAUGUUGUGCUCUUCACCCAGAAAGUUUAUGAGAAGUUUGACAAAGUGACAAGGCAUGGAAGGGUUCUAGGGAAGAGAACUGUUGCUGGCAGGGUUGUUAAAGAAAGCUAUGGUGCAGCCAAACAGCAACAUACUUUUACGGUUGAAGUGAUAUGGAGCAGGGGAAUAAAGAAGCUGUGUCCACUAUUUCCUUUGCUUGUGAAGGGUCGUAAUCUCUACAAAUUGAGAACAUUUAGACAGCGUUGGAGUAAUGAAGCUGAAAGAUCAAAAGUGCUUGCUGAGAAGCACCGACGAGGUGAAGCAGCAAGGCAUGUUAGAGCGAUUAAAAAAUCAAGGAAAUGGACUGAAAAUGGAGGUGGGAAGCGUCGGAAACAAUCGCAUUCUACCAGACCAAAUCAAAUUAGAAAGAAUAAUGAAUCAGAAAAGGGGAAGCAUUUUGAUAGACUCCAAAGACGGACAUCCCGUGGAUCUACAAAGCAUAAUAGUUUCUCUCAACAUCAAGCAGCCCUACCAUCAAAACAGAUGAGGAGUAAAGCCUCUCAACCUUUUAGGAGGCAUCAGAAAUCAGCACGCCCAAAUAUUGAUAGAGUCCCCGCUCUUCAUUCUCAGUCUGUCCCUCGCAUUCCUCACCAAUCUCAACUGGAAUUUCAACACAGGAGUGCACCUUUCCAGUCUUUCGGUCAUGUCAUGGGCUCCACUUCAACCAUGUUGAGAUAUCCUGUGACAACUAAUUUUGAUACAUUUAUUGUACCUGACUCACAAUUUCAUAGGCUCAAUAACAGCAAUUGUAGCCACCAUGGUUACAUAGAUCCUGGACACAAUAUCCCGAAUCGGAAUCACUUAUCUGGCGUGAAUGUCGGCAGGCCAUUUCAGCCGUAUAUUUCAGGAGCUGAGACAUAUGGGGAAUGGAGGUACAGGGUUUGCUCUAGUCUACAAUAGGAUGUUAUUACUGAAGCUCUGUAUGCUGACUCCUUCUCCUCGGGUUACUACAGGACAGGGCACAGAUGAUUUAUGCACCUAUUACAUUCUCAACUGUUGGAAUUAGUUUCAACUCGCAGCGUUUCAUUCGCAGGCGACGACAGUGAGACGAGAGGAGGGUUUUGACUGUGAAGGCAUGCCCGGUGCAACCAUGAGAUGAGGUGCACGAAACUAAAGAUCACUAGAGUGGCGGUAUGUGGACUUUACAAGGUGGCGACUGUAUCAGUUUUCUUUCUUUUCUAUGGCAAUUGGUGAUGGGUGUAAGUUGAGAAUCGUAGCUUUGGUAUAAUUAAGCCUCGCAUUCCUGGUGGCUCCAAUAUAAAUGCCUGAUGCUUUCCAAAGGUAGUUAGGUCUCUUUCAACAACACCCCCCCCCCCCCCACCCCCCACCCCCCAACCACUCUCCCAAAGAGAACUUCAUAAGGGGAGCUGCCGUAUGUGGCAACCUCACAUAGGGGCGGGACCUUUGAAUGUUGACCGUGGGUAUGGAAUCCACAUGCAGGUCUCGCCCCUUGUGAGAGUUGCGUCAGGGAAUAAAUUGUUUUGUAACCAAUGCAACAUCUUAUUGGCAUACUUGUUCAAUAGAUAUUUGUUUUUUGUUCAAAAAGUGAAA